Molecule: unclassified non-coding RNA, 324 nt
Filed under: soil metagenome
Description: partial contains 5.8S ribosomal RNA, internal transcribed spacer 2, and large subunit ribosomal RNA
Rfam family: 5.8S ribosomal RNA (bases 1-120)
Source: RNAcentral
GAUGAAGAACGUAGCGAAAUGCGAUAAGUAAUGUGAAUUGCAGAAUUCAGUGAAUCAUCGAAUCUUUGAACGCACAUUGCGCCCCGUGGCAUUCCGCGGGGCAUGCCUGUUCGAGCGUCAUUUCACCACUCAAGCCUCGCUUGGUAUUGGGCGUCGCGGUGCCGCGCGCCUCAAAGUCCCCGGCUGGGUCGUCCGUCUCCGAGCGUUGUGGCACAUAUUUCGCCGACGAGCUCGGACGGCUCGGGGCCGUUAAAUCUUUCACCAGGUUGACCUCGGAUCAGGUAGGGAUACCCGCUGAACUUAAGCAUAUCAAUAAGCGGAGGA